RNAcentral lists this long non-coding RNA (476 nucleotides) under Elaeis guineensis (African oil palm). Its description in RNAcentral is "long non-coding RNA (EGUI_LNC016230)". Lineage: Eukaryota; Viridiplantae; Streptophyta; Magnoliopsida; Arecales; Arecaceae. The record is from RNAcentral.
AGAUGCAUCGGUCCGUGUAAGGGGCCGAUGUGUCGUCGGUGCCAGGUCCGCGUCGAUGCGUCAGGGCUGAGCGCCGAUCAGUAGUCGAAGAGUUAAAACUCCGAUUUUUCAAACUGAACUUGUAUUCCGAUAAUUGAAUUACAGAAUUCACUGGUAAUACAGCUUCAAGUUGUCGGCGUUCCAAGUCCGGAGAAUGGGUUUCCCCUCAAGGGUCUCCAGCCGGUAGGCCCUCGGCCCGAAGGUGUCAGCAACCUUGUAGGGUCCUUCCCAGUUGGGAGUCCGCUUCCCUUGGUCCAAGGGCUUCGACACUUCUGCCUUCCUCAAGACUAGGUCGUCAGGCUUAAAGAGCUUUGGUCUGACCUUGGCGUUGUAAUACCGGGCGACCCUCUGUCGGUAUGAGGCCAUUCGGAUUUGAGCCUCAUCUCGCAGUUCGGGGAGAAGGUCUAGGUCGGCCCUCCGGCUUUCGGAGUUGUCCG